AUCCAUCAAAUUCUAAUUUCACCGACUACACAUCCAUCAAAUCCAAUAUCGAUCAACUACUACACAUCCAUCUAAUCUAAAUAUCAAGUACAUAAUCAAAGCCUAUAAAGUACAUAAUCAAAGCUAUGUCGUUUAGGUUUGCUCCUGGAAGAUGAACUUUUGUGCCAUCCAGGCCUUUUAAAUGCACCACCACCUGCAACAACUCGUUUAAG
Molecule: long non-coding RNA, 212 nt
Filed under: Daucus carota (carrot)
Lineage: Eukaryota; Viridiplantae; Streptophyta; Magnoliopsida; Apiales; Apiaceae
Description: long non-coding RNA (DCAR_LNC002062)
Source: RNAcentral